Molecule: ribosomal RNA, 205 nt
Filed under: Aliivibrio fischeri SR5
Lineage: Bacteria; Pseudomonadati; Pseudomonadota; Gammaproteobacteria; Vibrionales; Vibrionaceae
Description: partial 23S ribosomal RNA
Rfam family: Bacterial large subunit ribosomal RNA
Source: RNAcentral
AUGGUUAAGUGACUAAGCGUACACGGUGGAUGCCUUGGCAGUCAGAGGCGAUGAAAGACGUAUUAACUUGCGAUAAGCCCAGAUUAGGUAGUAAAAACCAUUUGAGUCUGGGAUUUCUGAAUGGGGAAACCCACGUGCAUAAGCACGUAUCGCUACGUGAAUACAUAGCGUAGCGAGGCGAACCGGGAGAACUGAAACAUCUAAG